GGGCCUGUGGUGUAUGCAGUAACAUGUUGCCUUUGACACGCAACGAAACGGGUGCAAAUCCCGUCAGGUCCA
This 72-nucleotide transfer RNA is filed under the name bacterium. RNAcentral describes it as "tRNA-Ser". It matches the Rfam family "tRNA". Rfam says of the family: Transfer RNA (tRNA) molecules are approximately 80 nucleotides in length. The record is from RNAcentral.